RNAcentral lists this ribosomal RNA (521 nucleotides) under uncultured bacterium. RNAcentral describes it as "bacterial SSU rRNA". It matches the Rfam family "Bacterial small subunit ribosomal RNA", at positions 777 to 1297 of the family's 1533-position model. The record is from RNAcentral.
AAUAGAUACCCUGGUAGUCCACGCCGUAAACGAUGAGUGCUAAGUGUUGGAGGGUUUCCACCCUUCAGUGCUGCAGCUAACGCAUUAAGCACUCCGCCUGGGGAGUACGGUCGCAAGACUGAAACUCAAAGGAAUUGACGGGGGCCCGCACAAGCGGUGGAGCAUGUGGUUUAAUUCGAAGCAACGCGAAGAACCUUACCAGGUCUUGACAUCUCCUGACCGCCCUGGAGACAGGGUCUUCCCUUCGGGGACAGGAUGACAGGUGGUGCAUGGUUGUCGUCAGCUCGUGUCGUGAGAUGUUGGGUUAAGUCCCGCAACGAGCGCAACCCUUGGUUCUAGUUGCCAGCAUUCAGUUGGGCACUCUAGAGCGACUGCCGGCGACAAGUCGGAGGAAGGUGGGGAUGACGUCAAAUCAUCAUGCCCCUUAUGACCUGGGCUACACACGUGCUACAAUGGAUGGUACAAAGGGCAGCGAAGCGGCGACGCAUGAGCGAAUCCCAGAAAACCAUUCUCAGUUCGGU